Molecule: ribosomal RNA, 92 nt
Filed under: Erysipelotrichaceae bacterium
Lineage: Bacteria; Bacillati; Bacillota; Erysipelotrichia; Erysipelotrichales; Erysipelotrichaceae
Source: RNAcentral
UCUGGUGACGAUACCGGAGUGGUCACACCUGUUCCCAUCCCGAACACAGAAGUUAAGCACUCCAGGGCCAAAAAUAGCUAUGCCUGCCAUAG